UCAGUAAAUCAGACGGCCGCGGUCAUAGAAAUAUGGCUGAGGAAAGUCCGGGCUCCGCAGGACAGGAUGCAGGCUAACGGCCUGUGGAGGCGACUCUAAGGACAGUGCAACAGAAAAUAAACGCCGUCUUUUUGGACGGUAAGUGUGGAAAUGUGCGGUAAGAGCGCACAGGGGCGAUGGUGACUGAAGCCCCGUGUAAACCCCAUCCGGAGCAACUUUGGGAAAAUUAAGCUUGUCCGGCGUUUUCCCUUGAAAGGCGUGAACGCGCCGGUAACGGCGCGGCAAGAUAGAUGGCCGUCUAAUACAGAACCCGGCUUACAGAUUUGCUGACAAG
This 334-nucleotide RNase P RNA is filed under the name Bacillota bacterium. RNAcentral's name for it is "RNase P RNA component class A". It matches the Rfam family "Bacterial RNase P class A". Rfam says of the family: Ribonuclease P (RNase P) is a ubiquitous endoribonuclease, found in archaea, bacteria and eukarya as well as chloroplasts and mitochondria. Its best characterised activity is the generation of mature 5'-ends of tRNAs by cleaving the 5'-leader elements of precursor-tRNAs. Lineage: Bacteria; Bacillati; Bacillota. The record is from RNAcentral.